CUACGGGAGGCAGCAGUAGGGAAUAUUGGUCAAUGGGUGAGAGCCUGAACCAGCCAUGCCGCGUGCAGGAAGACGGCCUUCUGGGUUGUAAACUGCUUUUAUCUGGGGAUAAAAAGCCCAUGCGUGGGACAUUGAAGGUACCAGAUGAAUAAGCACCGGCUAACUACGUGCCAGCAGCCGCGGUAAUACGUAGGGUGCAAGUGUUGUCCGGAUUUAUUGGGUUUAAAGGGUGCGUAGGCGGCCUGUUAAGUCAGUGGUGAAAUCCAACAGCUCAACUGUUGAUGUGCCAAUGAUACUGACAGGCUUGAGUACAGACGAGGUAGGCGGAAUUGACAGUGUAGCGGUGAAAUGCAUAGAUAUUGUCAAGAACACCGAUAGCGAAGGCAGCUUGCUAGCCUGUAACUGCCGCUGAGGCACGAAAGUAUGGGAUCAAACAGGAUUAGAAACCCUAGUAGUCC
This 458-nucleotide ribosomal RNA is filed under the name uncultured bacterium. RNAcentral's name for it is "bacterial SSU rRNA". It matches the Rfam family "Bacterial small subunit ribosomal RNA", at positions 339 to 796 of the family's 1533-position model. The record is from RNAcentral.